Molecule: long non-coding RNA, 529 nt
Filed under: Olea europaea subsp. europaea
Lineage: Eukaryota; Viridiplantae; Streptophyta; Magnoliopsida; Lamiales; Oleaceae
Source: RNAcentral
GGAAAUUGGGGUACCUGACAGGCGAAACUAAGAUGCCAGCUGCAACCAGCCCCGCUCUUCUCCAAAAAUGGAAGUCAAAGAACUCGAUGGUAGCUGCCUGGCUGGUCAACUCUAUGCAACCCGCCACCGGUAAGACAUACUUGUUCCUUCCAACCGCAAAAGAGGUUUGAGAGGCCGUAAAAGAGAUGUACUCAGAUUCCGAGAACUCCAAAAUUUUCGAAAUCAAAUCAAAAUUGUGGCAAACGAAGCAAGGGGAACAAGAAGUGACUGACUACUACCUUGAGAUGAAUGGGUUAUGGCAAGAACUCGACCAAAGUUCUGAAGAAGAAUGGACGUGUGCUGAAGACAGUGUUCGGUACAAGAAGAAACUGGAAAACGAACGUGUGUAUGAAUUCUUGGUAGGACUCCACCGCGACCUAGACAACGUCCGGGGGCAAAUUCUUAGCCAGCGACCCCUUCCCUAGCCGCGAGAAGUUUUCGCAGAGGUACGACGAGAAGAAACUCGGCGCAAGAUAAUGUUGAGUGAAAC